CUGUAUUAUAUAUAUGGCAUAUCAUAUAGGUGUAUCAUGUUCAAUGUCACCUUCUUUGCAUUGAGGUGAUUUCAUGAGGGAGCUAAGACAAUGUUUCAGUGCAAAUUGGUAAUCGAUCUCCUCAAGGACAGGAUUUAUCACACAAACCAUCUUUCUGCAGUAUGACAUCUUUACCUAGGUUUGGGUUCGUGACACCAAGAUACACUUAUCUUUGUAUUUGUAUUUGUGAUCAACCAAGCUAGUGAUAUACACUUACCAUUGUAUUUGUGAUAGCAUCCACUCAUGCACAUUGUGUUAGGACUUAAGAAAAUAUAUAUUGGAAUUGUAUAA
Molecule: long non-coding RNA, 330 nt
Filed under: Setaria viridis
Lineage: Eukaryota; Viridiplantae; Streptophyta; Magnoliopsida; Poales; Poaceae
Description: long non-coding RNA (SVIR_LNC004478)
Source: RNAcentral